AGUGGGGUUCAGAGUGCCUGCUGGGGUAGGGGGAAGAAACCAAGGUCACAGUGAAGCAGCUGGGUCCCUGUUGGCCCUGCAGGAGCUGGCUGCUAACUGGCCCAUCGGAAUGUAGGGUUACACUCGGUCACUUCCCCAUAUGAAACGACUUUACAACCAAGGACUGCAAGGCCCAACCUUACUAAGUGCUUGCUGUUUUGUCUCUUUGAACAGUGCCUAAGAUCUUGGUGCCUGGCUGCACAUGUGCCCGACUGGCAGAUGGGCCAUGCAAUGUGUCCUGCCACGCUGUCCCCUUGCUGUCCUGACGCUGUGCUCUGUGGAGCUGUCGGGGGCGCGUCUGUCCUGUCACCAUGACAGCAGGGACUUUCCCAGGCUGGGGAUUUUCAUGGCCUCAGUGACUGCUGUUGACCUCCAAUCAGCCUGGCCUUGGCUGACGCUGCAGCCGUCUUUCGGUUUCCCAGGCUUCUGCGCUUCUCACUCAAAAAGCUGCGAAACUGUUCCCUUUUGAAUGUGCUCAGCAUCUUCCAGAAGCUAUGAAGGAGCAGAGGGAUCGCCCCCAAGCCAAGCUGUUUCAGACAGAAGAGGAACAACUGGAGUUAAAGAAGAGUCAUCAGUUUCUCAGAAACCAGCUACAAAAAAGAGAAAAGCAUCAGCAACACAGGAACAAUAUGACGGCGUGGACCACAGCCUGGACCACGGAGGAAGAGGGGCCAGCUGAUGGUCUGCAGCAGAAGUGCUCUCUGGGACAGCGGAGCCAGCUUUGCUGUGUCGGACUCUGAGACCAUCUCUGCCCCCGCGUACCCCGCUUCAGAAGCUGCUGCGAGAGCCAGCGCCUGCUUCCCGCUCAGCCGCCCUGCUUGGGACUGGUCACCAAGCAUAGGAGAUGCCCCCUGCACUUCUCAGCCCCAGGUCCAGGUUAUGGGCGAGGCCUCUUGUGGUGGGUGAGAACACUGCUCCUUCGCAGUCACACCAUCAGUUAGGAAACAGUAUCGAGGGAAAAGUCUGUGUCAGUUCAGACACAAUCUUUUCCCCCCAAAUAUUUUCCAUCUGAGGUUGACUGAGGCUCAGAUGCCGAAACCACAAGCGUGGAACCCAGGAACCCGGAGCUCCCAGACGGCGCUGGGUGGCAAGGUCCUCAAGGGCACAGGAGUCCAGGGAGCUCUCAGCGGCCUGACGGGACUGUCUGAUUUCCCACUGAUAUUGUGGAAAGAUCUCCCAGCCUACCAACUGUUUGUCCAGUGCGAGUUUGUGUUCUCUAAAAUCCACAAAUAAAUUUUAGGAACAACAG
Cavia porcellus (domestic guinea pig) is the source of this 1288-nucleotide long non-coding RNA. RefSeq lists it as uncharacterized. The record is from RefSeq and is a predicted model, not a curated record. Lineage: Eukaryota; Metazoa; Chordata; Mammalia; Rodentia; Caviidae. The transcript has 3 exons.